UACGAAGGGGGCUAGCGUUGCUCGGAAUCACUGGGCGUAAAGCGCACGUAGGCGGAUUGUUAAGUCAGGGGUGAAAUCCUGGAGCUCAACUCCAGAACUGCACUUGAUACUGCCUUGCUCGAGUACUGGAGAGGAGAUUGGAAUUUACGGUGUAGCAGUGAAAUGCGUAGAUAUCGUAAGGAAGACCAGUGGCGAAGGCGAAUCUCUGGACAGUUACUGACACUGAGGCACGAAGGCCAGGGGAGCAAACGGG
RNAcentral lists this ribosomal RNA (253 nucleotides) under uncultured bacterium. Its description in RNAcentral is "partial 16S ribosomal RNA". It matches the Rfam family "Bacterial small subunit ribosomal RNA", at positions 524 to 776 of the family's 1533-position model. The record is from RNAcentral.